ACUCCUACGGGAGGCAGCAGUGGGGAAUAUUGGACAAUGGGCGAAAGCCUGAUCCAGCCAUGCCGCGUGUGUGAAGAAGGCCUUAGGGUUGUAAAGCACUUUAAGCAGGAAAGAAAAGCGCCGGAUUAAUACUCCGAGCGUAUUGACGGUACCUGCAGAAUAAGCACCGGCUAACUCCGUGCCAGCAGCCGCGGUAAUACGGAGGGUGCAAGCGUUAAUCGGAAUUACUGGGCGUAAAGCGUGCGUAGGCGGUUGCGUGUGUCGGAUGUGAAAGCCCCGGGCUCAACCUGGGAAUUGCAUUCGAAACUGCGUGACUAGAAUGUGGUAGAGGAAGACGGAAUUCCACGUGUAGCGGUGAAAUGCGUAGAUAUGUGGAGGAACACCAAUGGCGAAGGCAGUCUUCUGGGCCAACAUUGACGCUGAGGUACGAAAGCGUGGGUAGCAAACAGGAUUAGAUACCCUGGUAGGAUAGCGU
This 475-nucleotide ribosomal RNA is filed under the name uncultured bacterium. Its description in RNAcentral is "bacterial SSU rRNA". It matches the Rfam family "Bacterial small subunit ribosomal RNA", at positions 335 to 800 of the family's 1533-position model. The record is from RNAcentral.